RNAcentral lists this unclassified non-coding RNA (211 nucleotides) under Calvatia gigantea. Its description in RNAcentral is "partial internal transcribed spacer 2". The record is from RNAcentral. Lineage: Eukaryota; Fungi; Basidiomycota; Agaricomycetes; Agaricales; Lycoperdaceae.
AAUUCUCAACCCCUCCAGCUUUUGUGAGUUGCGAUGGGGCUUGGAAGGUGGGAGUUUGCGGGCCUCUGUAAUAGAGGUCGGCUCUCCUGAAAUGCAUUAGCGGAACCGUUUGCAGUCCCGUCACUAGUGUGAUAAUUAUCUACACUGUGAUGAUUGCUCUCUGGCUUGUUCAGCUACUAAUCGUCCUUUACCGGACAAUGUAUAAUGAACA